UAAGUACUCCCUCCUCCGGAAAUACUUGUCAUCAAAAUGAAUAAAAGGAGAUGUAUCUAGAUGUAUUUUAGUUCUAGAUACACCCCUUUUUGUCCAUUUUGAUGACAAGUUUUUUCGGACGGAGGGAGUACAUA
Triticum urartu is the source of this 134-nucleotide non-coding RNA. The record is from Rfam. NCBI's taxonomy places the organism in Eukaryota, Viridiplantae, Streptophyta, Magnoliopsida, Poales, Poaceae.